UACGUAGGGGGCUAGCGUUGUCCGGAAUCAUUGGGCGUAAAGCGCGUGUAGGCGGUCCGGUAAGUCCGCUGUGAAAGUCGGGGGCUCAACCCUCGGAUGCCGGUGGAUACUGUCGGGCUUGAGUACGGAAGAGGCGAGUGGAAUUCCUGGUGUAGCGGUGAAAUGCGCAGAUAUCGGGAGGAACACCAAUGGCGAAGGCAGCUCGCUGGGACGGUACUGACGCUGAGACGCGAAAGCGUGGGGAGCAAACAGG
Molecule: ribosomal RNA, 253 nt
Filed under: uncultured bacterium
Lineage: Bacteria
Description: partial 16S ribosomal RNA
Rfam family: Bacterial small subunit ribosomal RNA
Source: RNAcentral